This 468-nucleotide ribosomal RNA is filed under the name uncultured bacterium. RNAcentral's name for it is "partial 16S ribosomal RNA". It matches the Rfam family "Bacterial small subunit ribosomal RNA", at positions 28 to 507 of the family's 1533-position model. The record is from RNAcentral.
GAUGAACGCUGGCGGCGUGCUUAACACAUGCAAGUCGAACGGAAAGGCCCUGCUCUUGUUGGGUGCUCGAGUGCCGAACGCGUGUGUAACACGUGAGUAACAUGCCCUUGACUUUGGGAUAUCUCCAGGAGACUGGGGCUAUUACCGGGUAGGAUCUCCUGCAGCAUGGUGGGGGAUAGAGAGAUUCGGCGGUUCUGGCUCGACUCGCUGGUUAUCCGCUUGUUUGUGUAGUAGUGGCUUUCCAAGCCUUUGACGGCUAGCCGGCCUGAGAGGGGUGACGGGCACAAGGGGACUGAGAGACGGCGCAGAAUCCUACGGGAGGCAGUAGUGGAGAAUAUGGCACAAUGGGCGGAAGCCUGAUACAGAAACGCCGCGUGCGUGAUGACGGCCUACGGGUUAUGAACCGCUUUCGCCUGUGACGAAGCGUGAGUGACGGUAAUGGGUCAAGAAGCACCGGCUAACUACGUG